RNAcentral lists this long non-coding RNA (202 nucleotides) under Lathyrus oleraceus (garden pea). Its description in RNAcentral is "Pisum sativum (pea) long non-coding RNA (PSAT_LNC042126)". The record is from RNAcentral. Lineage: Eukaryota; Viridiplantae; Streptophyta; Magnoliopsida; Fabales; Fabaceae.
ACUUGGCUUAUGUUAGGGUAUGAUAUUUUAAGGAAAGUAGGUUUAAACCUUUGACUUAGGUGCCUAGUUCUCCUCCUAUCAUCAUACCUCUUUGUUCCUUUUUUAUGGUACUAGAGAGUUCUAGUUCUUCUUAUAAUAUCAUUCUUUUCUUUUUUCAUUCUUUUUUUUGAAGAAGUGUCUUUUACCACUUCUUUUUCAUAAG